UAUAUUUUACAUACAUUAGACGUAGUAUAGAAACAUGUUGAUAUGAUCAACAUGUAGUUCUUGCUCUUUAUAUUUUAAUUUCUGAUUUAAUAUCAUGUAAUAAUCAUGUAAUAAGAUCUUAGAUCUAAAGAUUUUUUAGUUUUAUAAGAUAAAUUUUGAUUUAUUUUAUUCUUCUGCUGUCUGAUCUUGAAAAAAUUUUAAGAUGUAAACCUGAAACCCU
Molecule: long non-coding RNA, 220 nt
Filed under: Elaeis guineensis (African oil palm)
Lineage: Eukaryota; Viridiplantae; Streptophyta; Magnoliopsida; Arecales; Arecaceae
Description: long non-coding RNA (EGUI_LNC044499)
Source: RNAcentral